UACGUAGGGGGCAAGCGUUGUCCGGAUUUAUUGGGCGUAAAGAGCGUGUAGGCGGCUAGGUAGGUCCGUUGUGAAAACUCGAGGCUCAACCUCGAGACGCCGGUGGAAACCAUCUAGCUAGAGUCCGGAAGAGGAGAGUGGAAUUCCUGGUGUAGCGGUGGAAUGCGCAGAUAUCAGGAGGAACACCAAUAGCGAAGGCAGCUCGCUGGGACGGUAUUGACGCUAAGGCGCGAAAGCGUGGGGAGCAAACAGG
This 253-nucleotide ribosomal RNA is filed under the name uncultured bacterium. RNAcentral describes it as "partial 16S ribosomal RNA". It matches the Rfam family "Bacterial small subunit ribosomal RNA", at positions 524 to 776 of the family's 1533-position model. The record is from RNAcentral.